RNAcentral lists this transfer RNA (72 nucleotides) under Ovis aries (sheep). It matches the Rfam family "tRNA". Rfam says of the family: Transfer RNA (tRNA) molecules are approximately 80 nucleotides in length. Lineage: Eukaryota; Metazoa; Chordata; Mammalia; Artiodactyla; Bovidae. The record is from Rfam by way of RNAcentral.
UCCCUGGUGGCUCAGAUGGUAAAGCAUCUGCCUGCAAUGUAGGAGACCCGGGCUCAAUCCCUGGGUUGGGAA